Molecule: ribosomal RNA, 497 nt
Filed under: uncultured bacterium
Lineage: Bacteria
Description: partial 16S ribosomal RNA
Rfam family: Bacterial small subunit ribosomal RNA
Source: RNAcentral
GAUGAACGCUGGCGACGUGCCUAAUACAUGCAAGUAGAACGCUGAAGCUUGGUGCUUGCACCGAGCGGGUGAGUUGCGAACGGGUGAGUAACGCGUAGGUAACCUGCCUCUUAGCGGGGGAUAACUAUUGGAAACGAUAGCUAAUACCGCAUAAAAGUCGAUAUCGCAUGAUAUUGAUUUGAAAGGUGCAAUUGCAUCACUAAGAGAUGGACCUGCGUUGGAUUAGCUAGUUGGUGAGGUAACGGCUCACCAAGGCGACGGUACAUAGCCGACCUGGAGGGGUGAUCGGCCACACUGGGACUGAGACACGGCCCAGACGCCUACGGGAGGCAGCAGGAGGGAAACUUCGGCAAGGGGGGCAACCCUGAACGCGCCACGCCGCGUGAGGGAAGAAGGGUUUCGGAUCGUAAAGCUCUGUUGUAAGAGAAGAACGAGUGUGAGAGUGGAACGUUCACACUGUGACGGUAACUUACCAGAAAGCGACGGCUAACUACGUG